CUCUAAGACUUGCUGCUUGAUUUAGCUCCUGUGGGCUCACUGGCCUGGGUGGUUAUUGCUGUUGCUCUGGACCAGGCAGGAUGUAACAGGAGCUUUUUCAAGUUACAACCAGAAUAGCUAACUGAAAACUUUAAGCCAGGUGUGAGUGACUGGUGUUUCUCUCUGCUCCGUCCUGUCAUCAAGCUUCAGUUUUGCUGGGGAAUGACUUCACUGUUCUGGUUCAUGGUUUUGGCAUUCCAGCCAAUUUCCCACUCAUCACAUGGCCCAGUGGACCAGGACCUAGAGCCAGGGUCCUAGCCCUGAUCCCACUCAACCCUCCCACUCAUCCAAAACUGAUGGGGUUUCUGGAAUCAGAAGCUGGAACAUCAGGGAUCAGAGGAGCUAACAAUGAGAAGCCUCAUGCCAACCCAUCCAGCCCUGCCAGCAGCAUCAGCUGAUCCCUGGGCAGUUACAAUCAACAAAGAGGGAGAGAAUCAGAAGCAGAGAAAAUUCCCACCAGAGUCACCGAGGUCAUCUGGCUGGGGGACAGGCUGUGGAGAGGACAUUCUUUCUGCUGCCAUUGUUCCCCGCAUUCCACGGGACCAGGAGUGAUACUAAUUGCUGCCACCACAACUGCUUGAAUUCCUGGGGCAUUUUACUGUCUGUGAAGUGUUGGUAUGCCCAUGAUCCCAUGUGGCCCGCUCUGCUCCCUAAAACCUUGCAUCUUUUCAUCUUGAAUUUUUGCUGGCCUGUCCUUUUCUCUCUCCUUUUGCCUGAAGGCUUCUCUGGAGGGAAGGGCAAAGUGGUUUAGAGGCUUGGCUGUGUGGUCGAAGAUGGCUUCUUCACAUCUGGGAGGCCACUGUUGGCUGCCUACAUGUUAGCCUUCUUCUUUCUUGCUAAGAUGAUUCUGAUUUUUGUUCAGGUGAAGAUGUUCCCAGCUCCAAGGAGGAGCAAAACCUAACUGGUUUAAGCCAGUCGUAGCAAUCUGACCCCUGUUGAUAGUGACUGGUCCAGGGAUGGGCAGUGGGACCCUGUUCUGGCCUAGAUGUAAGUGAAAGUCUGGAGGGAUUCUGAGAAAGAUUUUACUAUCUGAUUAUAAGAGAGAUAAAGGGGAAAACCAUUUUUUCCUUCUUGGUUGAGACACUGCUACGCGAGGACAUGGUGCUUGGAGCUUUGGUAGCCAAAUUCUGUUGAUGCUGAUAACAGCAGAAAAUGAGCAAUGCUUGAUAGAGACGUCUGGGAGUGCUGAGGCAAUCCUGGGCUCACCGAGCUCUAGAUUUCUUAUAAAGAAGCCAUAUAUAUAUGUCCUUGAUGUUUACAAAAUUAACGCCUUGCUUUUUAAG
Molecule: long non-coding RNA, 1322 nt
Filed under: Callithrix jacchus (white-tufted-ear marmoset)
Lineage: Eukaryota; Metazoa; Chordata; Mammalia; Primates; Cebidae
Description: lncRNA (ENSCJAG00000073959.1)
Source: RNAcentral